GCCCACCUCACCAGUUUCUGCGCCAGGUGGAGCGCAGUGAGGGUCUCGGUGUGGGAGACGCCCCUCGACAGGGCUCUUGUGGCCAGACAGGUGGGAAGGCACUUAAGGAGAGCUGCUAUAAGAGGUACUUGGGGCCGCCUGUGGUUGUGCUGUGCCCCCAAAUCCAAGACCUCCAGUGACAUCCUGGCUCUCUGUGCGUGUGGAUGGGUCCUGUGCCGGUUGCCUUGCCUUGCGUUCCUUUGCAGUUCCCUGGAAUGAAUUGGACGGAGUGAAGCAUGCGGAAUCUGUGUUCUCUUUCCCCACAGAUGUCAGAAUUGGGUCUUCCCUUGUCCAGCUGGCUCUUGAGGAGUGGUGGCAUUUCCUGGGGUGUAGAAGAGUGCCUGAAGGGGAGCCCACGGUGGCUGUAGGCAGGACAUGGGACCAGAGAGGCCAAGAGGCUCGCCCAGUCACACAGCCAGAGAGGAGUUGAGAUGGCAAUGGUUUCCCUCAUGUCUGGGCUUCCUUCGGUCCAGGAAGCAGCUGCUUGAGAUUACAGGGCAAGGCAUUACCAGAAGAGUUUGCAGACCUGGAUCCCGUGCCUAAAACAGUAUGGCUCAGAAGGGCCUAAGAAGAGAGCUUGGGGCAUUGCUGGCACUUGGCAAAUAUUUGUUCAAUGAAUGGAUUUUUACAGAUGGGAAACAAGAAAUGACCAAAAUGUGUUCUCUCUUCAGGAGACCACUGAAAACCAGCACAUAUGGGUGGUUUUCUCUGUACUGCUCACGAAUUCAUCCCCGAACUUUGCUCAGCCUGUUUAUAUCUCCCUUCCCGACAACCAAACACGUUAGGUGUCCUUCGGCACUGAUUUCUUGAGGAAGCCACAUCUCCAGAGCCUCCUGACUUGUUCAGUGUGGCUGGCCUCACUCUGUCGUCCACUGCUGGUGGGAAUGCAGAACACUUGGGAAGAGUUCGGCAGUUCCCUACAAAAUUGUACACACCCUUACCAUACGAUCCUGCAAUUGCGCUCUGGGGCAUUUCCUCAAAUGAGCUGAAAACUUAAGUCCACGCAAACACCUGCACCCAGAUGUCUGAGCAACUCUAUUCAAAACGGCUACAACUUGCGAGCAACCGAGAUGUCUUUCGGUAGAUGAAUGCAUAUAUAAACUGUGCUGCAUCCAGAACAAUGAAAUAUUAUUCAGUGCUAAAAGCAAAUGAGCUACCGAGCCAUGAAAAGAUGUGGAGGAAACAUCAAUGCUUUUCACCAAGUGAGAGAAGCCAGCCUGAAAAGACCACAUCCUGUAUGCUUCCAGCCAUGUGACAUUCUGGAAAAGGCAAAGCUCGAAAACUUUCAGGAAAAAAAAAAAAAAAAAAAGCAGAAGGAAAUAUCCACAACCUCAGGAGAGGUGAAGAGUCCUUAGACUAUGACACCAAAAACAUGAUCCAUAAAGGAAAUAAUAAAUGGAUAAAUUACAGACUGGGAGAAAAUAUUUCCAAACCACAUAUGUAACAAAGGACUACUAUCUAAAAUGUAUAAAGAACUGUCCAAACUCUGCAGCAACAUGUGACACAGUCCAAUUCAAAAAUGGGCAAAAGAGGGGCGCCUGGGUGGUUCAGUCGGGUGGGUG
Molecule: long non-coding RNA, 1601 nt
Organism: Herpailurus yagouaroundi (jaguarundi)
Lineage: Eukaryota; Metazoa; Chordata; Mammalia; Carnivora; Felidae
Exons: 5
Source: RefSeq, a predicted model, not a curated record